This 3319-nucleotide long non-coding RNA is filed under the name Equus caballus (horse). RNAcentral's name for it is "lncRNA (ENSECAG00000057615.1)". Lineage: Eukaryota; Metazoa; Chordata; Mammalia; Perissodactyla; Equidae. The record is from RNAcentral.
UUAGCAGUGCGCGUGCGGGAGCGCGGAGACGUGGCAAGCGGGGCUGGGUCGCGCGGGGCCUCUUCCGGGGUUAGGAAGCAGUCCGGGUCUACUCCAUCCGCAAGGACUCUGCGGCCGCUCACGCGCCGGAGCCUCCACCCAGUUGACCCUCAAGGCACCAAAAGCACAGAGAAGUGGAGAAUGCUUGGUGUGGGAAAACCCACACAUCUGGUGUCAGAAUUGGUGUGAGUAGCAGUGGUACCAGAAAACUCUGUUUUCUGACUCAGAUGGUAAAAGUAACCUAUACCCGAGGCAUCAUAAUUCAUCUAGCACCUUGCCUAGACUUCUUAAGAAUCUCCAAAUACCAUGCAUUAGAAAACAAAAAACAGGGGACCGGCCCGGUGGCGCAGCGGUUAGGUUUGCACGUUCUGCUUCUCGGUGGCCCGGGGUUUGCCGGUUUGGAUCCCAGGUGCGGAUGGACAUGGCACCGCUUGGCAUGCCGUGCUAUGGUAGGCGUCCCACAUAGAAAGUAGAGGAAGAUGGGCACGGAUGUUAGCUCAGGGCCAGGCUUCCUCAGCAAAAAAGAGGAGGACUGGCAGUAGUUAGCUCAGGGCUAAUCUUCCUAAAAAAAAAAAAAAGAAAGAAAGAAAACAAAACAAAAAACAUAUGUACAUAUAAACACAAAAUGAGGUCUUCCUUUACCACUUUUUGGUAAGUUGCCUCUUUUGCCUGACAAUACCUAAUGACCAAUGCCCCAUGUCAAUAAAUAUAAGUCUAUAACCAGGGUCAGAUCUAGGUUUUAGGGCCCUGAAGCAUACCUAAUUGGGGAGGGAGAACUCUUUAAGAAAAAAAUAGAGGAUUACAAUACAAUGUCAGUAGCCCUACAAUGCCAUCCAAAACCAGGGAAAGUAUGACAGACGGAAGUCAGAUUGGAAAGGGACAGUAGUCCUAACCGUUACUCUUAAAAUAUCCUUGUUUUGCAAAUAAUAAUGAUAAUAGCAAUGUAAGUACAUGGCCAGCAUCACUCCCAGGGUCUUGGAAGGAGCCGCGGGGAGCCAGCCUUCAUUCCUUCAUGGUAGACCUGCUUUCGCCUCUGUCAUCAGUGGCUACAUAGGAUGGUAUUAAUGGGAGGUAUAAAAUUUUGUGUGCUCUGUUUCCUGUUGUUUCAAACUUGCUGUUGUUAGUAACACUUUGAUAAUCAUUCGUGUGCUGAUAUUUUCGUCUGCAUGUCUGAUUCCUUACAAUGAAUUCCAAGAAGCAAAAUUUCUGAGUCAAAUGGAAUGAAAUCCUUUACUACAUGUUUCCGUGUCACUGACCAGAAAGUACAUGUCAGAACAUACCCCCUCCAGUAGGGUGUGAGGAGUCACCUUCCUCGUCCCAUGCAGACAAUGGGUGUUUUUGGUUAUUCACUUCCUGGAGCAGAUACUGGUGAUGUACUCCCUCAGCUCUGUUUCAUCCUCUGCCGUGAACCCUCCAUGAUAGAAAGCUAAUGACUGCAUCCUCCAGACUCCCUCAUAGCACCAGGUCUGCGAAUGUCCUGCAUGUCAUUGCCAAGAGACUGCCCUGUCCCAGAACCACCGACGGGGGACAGGGCUGUGCUUCUGCUUUUGCUGCCAAGAACAGUAGUGGGGAUUUGGUUUUCGGCUGCAGCAGUAAACCAUCCCAGGAUCCACUUCUUACCUUAUCAAGAUGCAUCAUUUUACCAGCAUAGGCGACAUCCGAGGCACUUUGGUCUCAGAGCCAACAGGUGGGACAGUGGCUUCCUGAUACCCUAGUUUCUUGAUCAUAGCAGCGGUCACUGCCUUGUUGGCGGCCCAGUUCUUCAGUGUUAUUCUGAGGAGGGUGCUGUUGGAGGAGGAAGACGUUUCCUCUACUCACUGUAGGUCCUUCUGGCUGGGCUACAAAUUAAAUGGACAUUGAGACAGAAUCACAGGAGAAAAUCAAACAAAGCUUUAGAACAUGUAUACAUGAGAGAGACCCAGGAAAACUGAGGAACUCACCAAAAUGGCAGAGGCUCUCAUCUUAAAUACCAUCUUCAGCUGCAGACAAAGGAGGAUGUUGGGGGUGGGGAGAGUCAAUUAUGGGAGAUUACCAGAAAAGUAGAGUAAACAAGAGUAAGGUUACUAUGCAGACUUAAGUCCUUGCCUUCUGCACUGAUAAGAGUUUCUAGAGAUUAGUCAUCCCUCCUUCUUCCUGGUACAGAGAGAGAGACACCUUUACAGAUGGAGAUUUCCCUUACAAAUGUAAAUGUCUCUUACAAAGGGUAACUUCUACUUUUCAGAGUUUCUCUCAUGUCUGCAGUUUUUAAAAGUAACCGGCCCAAAAUAAUCCAAAGAGACAUAUCUUGGGGUGGCCAAUUCCAAUCCCCCACAGUGUCAUUCCUGGAACCUCAGCCUAGAACUUCCUCCUUCAAUUCUGGAACAGUUUUGUACGCACAUAAUUCCAUGUUAAAAUCCAUUCUGCUUAAGUAGCUGGAGUGAUUUCUGUUACCUGGGGCCAAGUCCUAACUGAUAGAUGCAUCUCACACACACGCACACACACACAAUAUCUUCUUUAAAACAUUGUUUUACUAAUGACAAGAGAUUUUCACGUAUUGAGGUAUGUGAGGUAAUUAUUCAUUCAAAACUGAUUUGGCUUGAACUAAAAAGCCUGACUUAUGACCUAUCAAACGUACAUUGUACAUCUGCGUAUCCAUUAAAGAGUGCAUUCUCCUAAGAAUGCAUACUUCCCCUCCAAUCAGUGACAGCCGAUUGGUAACGCCUGGAUUAGUCCCUUUCCUGAUGUCAUGGUCAUGUUUGUUACUGAACCAGGUUUAUUUUUGCCCACCACCCAGAAAGGCAAACACCAAGACAGCGAGAUGGCAGCAGAGAGAGUUUACUUACAAGGCAGCCACACGAGGAAGCGAGAGCAAUCAGCCUCAAAUUUGCUUCCCCGAAAACAAGGACUCAGGGAUAUUUAUGGGAUGGGGCAAGGCGGUUGGAAAUGUGGAGAGAGGUGAUUGGAGGUGAGGUAAUUGGUGAUCUGUGCAAGUGUAGUCAGACUUCAUGCCUCUUCAUAGGACCCACGUUCGCAAAAUGGCGACGUUUGUAUGAUCUGAGGGUCGAGUUUUUAGCCUCUUGAGGUCUAAAGGUCACCUAUCAGAUGUCUCCGUGGGCCCAGUUGAUGAGUUGGUGGUCUCAGCUGGCCUGAAGUGGACAGGGAGUUUUAAUUCCUGAAAAACAGCUCACACACCCAUUACCAUGGGGACCCAGGCUCCAGGGAAUUGUUAUUUAUAGGAGCUGUGAGGGACUGGAAUUAACUACCCCAAGAUAUGUCUCUUUGGCAUGAGGAUUAUUUGAGG